Juglans microcarpa x Juglans regia is the source of this 200-nucleotide long non-coding RNA. RefSeq lists it as uncharacterized. Lineage: Eukaryota; Viridiplantae; Streptophyta; Magnoliopsida; Fagales; Juglandaceae. The transcript is spliced from 2 exons. The record is from RefSeq and is a predicted model, not a curated record.
CCAAUAAAUCUCCAAUUAAUUAGUUUUGCCAUUUGCAAAGAUUUCAUUUUUCCAGCAGAGGACUUUUUAUGCAGGCCACAUAAUGGUUAUUGUCUCUUGGAAUUACUUUUAGCUGAGUUCAAGCUUGAUAAGUCCGAGAAGCUUUUCCAUAUAUAGUUAGAAAGCAGUCAAAUAUAUCUUUUCUUAUACAGAAACUUUAA